UGAGGAACUUGUCCCGGUCCCUGGGAUAACAGUUGGAAACGACUGCUAAUACCGGAUGACGUCGGAACUUCGCAUGGAGUACUGACGAAAGGGUUACUGGAUCGGGAGAGCCUCGCGGCCUAUCAGCUUGUUGGUGGGUAAUGGCCUACCAAGGCAUCGACGGGUANCUGGUCUGAGAGGAUGAUCAGCCACACGUGGGACUGACGACCACGGCCCAGCUCCG
This 223-nucleotide ribosomal RNA is filed under the name uncultured bacterium. Its description in RNAcentral is "partial 16S ribosomal RNA". It matches the Rfam family "Bacterial small subunit ribosomal RNA", at positions 118 to 339 of the family's 1533-position model. The record is from RNAcentral.